Molecule: long non-coding RNA, 6362 nt
Organism: Daphnia magna
Lineage: Eukaryota; Metazoa; Arthropoda; Branchiopoda; Diplostraca; Daphniidae
Exons: 19
Source: RefSeq, a predicted model, not a curated record
UCCAGCUUGUCGUUCCACAAUUUAGUGUACUGCAUCUGUCAGCCAUGUAAUGGCGUCGUUGACCUUUGACGUUGGGUACCGAGUGUGACCAUCAUCGUUUACUCUCCCUUGAAUUGGUUUUUAAAACUUGUGGCUGCCUAAAUGCUUGAUACAAUUUUUCAUGUCGGACACCCGAAGAAGUUCAUUUUUACUUCUCGUUCUUAAAUGAAAAAAUAAAGAGGAGCUUGGAAAUCAUUUCAUUAGCCAAAACAAAGAGAUGUUAAAAAGCUGUUACUGAAAGCGUUGAAAGUGUUAUUGAAACUAGGAAAAUGUUGAAAUUUAUGAAACUCAAAGUGCUUGUCGAUCCAGAAGUUUCUGCUGAUACCCUUUUGCCAAAAACUUCACCACAGGAUGAGGGGUAAGUUUUGGUGACAAAACGAAUCCGACGUUCCAAACCGAUUGUGAUGGACGGCACUCUCUCCAUAUAACAUUGAACUGGACAUCGAGUUGGCUUUGAUCUUACCAGUCAAAGUGUGCUCAGUGAUGUUGCCUUUGAUAUCGAACCCAUCGCCACCACCGGCCAAAAAGCUAGGCAUCGCCACGUCAUAGAUUUCCUAUUGUCAACCUUGGGCUGGACCGGACUGUAGGCUGGAAUACGACAAUUGUUGCAUCGUGCCAAAAGUUCUACCACUCUAUCACCUAUGGGCCUAGCUAUGUCGUACGCAACUUGGAGACCUGUGGAUCAUUGCUCGAUAGAAAAAACAUUUAAAAGAAUUCGUGAAAGAAAACCAUUUACCUGAAACCUGCAGAAAUCCACCGAAGGGAUCCAGAGCUGAUGGAUCGUAAUCAUGCACUGUAAACUCGAAAAUAUUCUUCAGCGUUUCACCGCUGAUUUUGACGAUGUCUACUGUAUUACUGAAAGGAGCGACUGAAAGAAGGUCACCGUACGUGAUGGAUCCUACAAGACAGAAUCCACUUGUAGAUUUUUAAAAGAACUCGUCAUUAACUGAAUUCACCAUUUUGGGCGCGCUCAUCGAUGGAUGCCCUGACUCCGCCGCCAUUGACGAGAGCGAUAGCCACUUUACUCCACUGACCCUCGCCUGCAAACUUGGUGAACUGCAUUAAAGCUAUAAACGGUUAUUCAAGGAUUGCCGUAAUAUCUUAUUAGCAUACCAAAUCAACGUAGGCGUCAGCAAUGAAAUUUCCAAGAUUGCAUUCAACCAUGCGACAGGACAGACGAUUACCGUCCAAGAAGACGAGCGUUUUUCCAACUUCUUUCUCGACAAAGCUUCGACUUCUUUUCGAAAUGGGAUCAGUUCCUGCAGGACGUGUGGAUCUGCAUCGUGGAUGAAACGAUGGCAGAUGUGUAAUUUACGACCAGUAGGAUUUACAACUACAAUAGUACCUCGAGGUAUGGUCUUAUCCAUGAGAAUCGGUAGGCCAGCAGUAGCGAUCACAUCUCCAUCGUCGUUAAAAGUCACCAUCAAGUUGCCCAGAUAUUUGCCAAAGGCGAAUGCCUGAACGACGGGCACUUCCUUCCCAGACGGUUGCUUCACCAUGGUCGGAUAUGGACCUUGUGGAAUUUCGAUGGACGGAGCCGGACCUGCACGUUAAUGGAUUCGAGCUUAAAUUGAUUACACUAACAGCUUACCGUUCCAGAGAAAUGUGUUGGUAUGACCGCCUACCACCACGUCGAUAUCUGGCACCUGUUCAGCGAUUUCCAUAUCUUUGAGAUAACCCGCGUGACCGACUGCAAUUAGAAUAUUGACUCCAUCCUUUUUAAGGCGUUCUGCUUCUUCUCGAACGCCUUGAAUUUCGUCAAAGACUUUGACUGCGUCCAAGGUGGAGAUGUACUGCCAUUUGUGAUCAAGAGCCAAAAGAAGACGUCAUUUAUAAUUUUCACAUCACUAAUUUUGUUAGAAAAAUGUUUUUUCACCGAUGUUUCAACCGUCAGGUAGCCAAUGAUGCCUACCCUGUGUCCACCUACUUGGACGACUACUGAUUUUGGAAUUUUCCCAUGAAGCCAAGAGUUCCAGGAAGAAAGUUCAAUCAGAGUUUACAGAGGCAUAAUUGAUUAAAAGAAAAGGUAUUUUUACCGGAUGGUUGGCUGCAUUCACGAACGGUGCCAGCCCCGGCACGCCAUCAUCAAAUUCAUGGUUGCCAAGAGACUACUCAGCACAAAAGGAUGAGGGAAAAAAAUCCAAAAUUAAUUGCUAAAAUUUCUAAUCCCUACAUGUCGUGCCUGUAAACGUUUUGACAGCACAAUUGAUAAUAAUGAACGUUCAAUAUGUGCUGCCAGGCUUUCCGACGGAUGUGUACAAAGCAUAGGGCGUUUCCCCAUUCGUGGUUGUCUAAACCAGGAAAACGCGCUACAUCAAUAAUUAAGAAACAAAUUUAUCAACGUGAGUGUAAACACACGGACCGUUAACGCGCUGCCACAUGGGUGGGAAAACUGUCGGCGAUGAUCACGCAAAAAACGCAGCUUUUUUUCAUUCCAUUACAAGCAGAUAAGAAGGAUUUCAACAACUCACAUUGUGAAAAUCAUUGGAAUAGAAAGUGGCCGUUAAAAAGAAUGACGGACGUUUUCCAUUGUCCAUUUCAACAUAGGCUACCUCGAUAAACCUAAUAACCACAGUGAGUGGAAAGGAAAAGGAUUGUUUGGCUUCUUGACCGAACCACUAUGCUACAGAAACAUCUGUCUUUAGAAAGCGAAACAACGGAGGAAACAUGAAUAACUUACCAUGGCCGUUAAGUUGAGCAAGUUACCGAAGUGGCUGACGGCCUUCCAUUUAUGGAUGGUAUACCAUCUGUCGGCGAGACCAAAUACGUAAACCAAACGCCAAUCAGAAGUAGCAAAGCAGGCAAGGAGAUAUAAAUAUUGCACAGCAUUUGUUCUCACAUGGUGCCUUGGAAGAAAUCACCGCCAUUUAAAAAAAUUGUGUCCGGAUGCUGUUCACGAAUUUUUCGAGCUUGAUGGACCAGACGGGCAUAUCCACCGAAACAAUUGCCAUCCUCCGAGUCUCGUUGUUUGCACGCCCCACCGAGUUUGUUGGCCUCUUCGAAACGGCAAUGGAUAUCGUUAGUGUGUAGGAUAGUCAAAUUAAACGAAGCUGAUGCCUGCUUGACAACGAAAGAUACACAAAACAGACCCAACAGCCUCAACCACAUGAGUACGGUAUUACGUGUCGACCAGUCCUGCAUUUUCUGCUCAACUGUGGACAAAAUUUUGAGCGUUCAGCGUUAUAUUGCUCACCAAACUGGAAAUAGGCGUCGCCACAAGCUGUCUACUAGCUUUCGGAGAGAGGAGACUAAAUCCGAAGGACGUAACCAGCAAGAGUCAUCUCCUAUUCAAAGUGAGUGAACUUCUUUUGCCAUUUGAUAGCAAAUAAGCCGUCUGGUCCAUAUUGCAGACGAAAUCUCUCGCUGCUGAUAUCCUAUAGUUCUCGUUAGCGUGGGACUUACAUAAGCUCUUAUUAUGCAGUUUCGUCUCAUUUUAGCCUGUCAUUUUAAGAACAACUCAGUAGGUACUUGCACAGUAAAUUUGUGGCGACGACUUCUUCCUGGAAAUGAAUUUGUUUUUAAGUUUCUGUUGUAGCUUGUAACCAAUAGGUAAAUCGAUGAAAUAUAGCUUCCCUUCGCAGAUUCCCUUCGGGAUUCGGUUUGCUAUAAGAAGCUAGCCCAGAUGCCAAUCGUCUUGAUCCCUCUCCCUUUGAUUGCGAUUCGAGUCAACGCAUUCCAUCAUGCCAGCGAUCGCAGACGUUGUUCGACCAUUCUUUUCACAGGAUUUUAUGACUGGACUUCCUGCAAUUCCUGAUACCAUCUGUCCUAAGAGGUUGUAGACAAGAUGGUUGAAGCCGUUUGGAACUGUUCCAGCAAUUUCCAAGGUCCUGUAUGACCUGACGGCGAAACCACCGGAGAAAAAGGAGUGGGAAUGAUUUGAUUUACGAACGUUGCUUAGGCAAAUGAUCUCCACACUCUUUAUAGGACAAGGAUACGGAGUUUUAUCAUGACCAGAUUUAGAUGGGAGAUAUUACGAACAUUGGAUUCAGUAUAGACUUUUGAAAUUGAAAAAUUAAUCAGCUUUGUCGUCUCGUGAAAAUCUUUUUAACUCGCUUUUUAAGAGGAGUUCACGUGAUGACUUGUCUAUUUCUUAAUAUACAUGCACACUUGUCGGAAAUAAUGGGUGCAUUUAUUUUUCGUCGAACAAAUUAAACAUUGUUAAUGGGCAGCUAGGUGGGUUGUUGUUGUUUCCCUCCCUUGUAAAACUACCCUUUUUCACCCAAUUGUUAAUCUAAUUCUUUUGGGAACGUUCGGAUGUCGCCCAAAAACAAGCGGGAGGCUAUUCGAGGCGUUAUGCCAUUUCCUGAAAUUUAACAUUCAGGAAAUUUGUUAUAAGUUCGCAAACUUUUAAGGUCUUUUCAGAGUAGUACCAUAAAGUAUGACAGUAGAAAAGGGUACUGAGGUUUCUUAAAGUGAAGAACAGAUCUGACGCCUUUGGUAAGCGGAAAAAGUACUGCAUAUUGAAGUGUCAGAUGACGGUUUAAAGAAUGAACUCUUUCGUUUACCCAAUGAAUCUUAACUUGGAACUGGCAGGUGGCGUUUAGCAGUGGCACCCAAUCUUUAUUCUUAAAACCCAGAGGUGUUCUUCACUUUUCAAGUGGAUUUAUUGAUGAUACUUGCUGGUUAAACCAUGAAGAAUACCAAUACAUGGAUAAGUGGAGGGUUAUAAAACUGUAAUUCCUCAAGGCAUUUUCAUUCACGCAUGCGAGGCAGUUCGUGAGCAGACGAACCAUUGAAAGAGCCUUGCGCAGUCUAGCAGCAUUCGGUCAGAUAUAUGCAGAACCCGAAACAUUGUUUUGACAAGUACUGUCAUAUUUCGAUUGCAGGUUUUCACUAAAUACCAAGUGUCAGAACUGACUUAGCGUAAUUCAUGAAAAAUCGCGAUUUUGCUCAAAUCUGACUUUUGGCUAAAACACCUCAUUCCAGCCCCAAAUUUAAUAAGGAUCACGAAAAUCCUAUUCGUUUUGUUAUGGAAUCCCUAUUUCCGAAGAUAUUGGCUACUUCCAGUUACUUCCGGGUGUUGUAGCUUUUAUUCCGUGUAUUUUUGCCAUCAACAGUAGAGGCUGACCCCACGAGCAACGACAGUUUUAGCUAAAGAUGUUUAGCUUCUCGAGCUGCAACUAUUUGUAGUUGAUAUUCUAGGAUGAAAAACUAGAUGACGUUGACAUGCACUUUGAUAAAGAUCACAAAUGACAAGUAAAAUAUGUGGUAAUCAAUCGAUGCUGUCUGUUCUACUACACUUGGGGAAUAAUGGUUCAGUGAUGGGGUACAACACCACUCCAAUCCAUAGUGGCAAGGUAGAAUCUAUUGCAACGAAAUAUUUCGUUGCAAUAAGAGACUUACGGUCAAAUCCGACUUUUGGCUAAAAAUAUGCCUCACGGGCAUCGGUAGCCGGGCAAAGUGGCCCACCGCAAAAAAACAAAUAGGGAAAAAGUCUCUUAUUGCAAUUGCAACGAAAUAUUUCGUUGCAAUAGAUUCUACCAAGCAAAUUAACUAUUUCUGAAGCAGACGAACUGUAUGACUAACUCAAUUUUGCCCAUUGUUUUGAAAAGUACUGUCACUGGCAUCACCAUCUAGCGGAAUUCUGACAGGAAAAUAGUUUUUUUUUUUUUCAAUAACACGUUUUGUGUAAAAAAUUUACAUGAUUUGGAUUCAAAAUUCAACAACAAUUACAAAAAAACAAUACAAUUUACAAAACAGUCGGACUUACUUCUUUUAUGGAGAAGUGAGAGGAUUUUAAGUUGGGUUUCAAAGUAGAUGGAGCCACUGCUGCAUAUUUUCAAGACAUGGCCAUGGCAUUUCUGGUUUAGCAUCCACGGAGAAUACCUGCGUCAUUAAGUUCUUGUUAAAAUUACACUCCUGAUGUCGCGUGGUUUUACCUGGAAUUUAGCGUCUCAGAACUGUGCUCGAUGUGCUGUGAUGGCCACAGGACCCUGUUUGUGACAGAAUGCAAUGCCACAGAUGUUUUGUUGCCACUGUAAAUAAAAAAGAUCUUUAGUGUCACUCUUGUGUUGAUGAAUUGCUAGCUCACACGUAAGAAGUAAAAGGAAGUUCAAGAUUUUUGUCUUGUCAUUGUGGUGAUUGAUGACUGUUUGUCACAUGAUGGAGGCUACUUUUAAAAUGAAAACAACAAAAACUCCUUUAGUCAUGAAGAUUCGUUUGGGUUCUUUUUCGACAACAAAGUCUUGCAGAAUGGUAAACAGCUGUGAAUGGUCACAUACUCAAAUGACGACGAGAUUAAGUGAGAGGUUUGUGAAAUAAGUUAUAUAAUGUUACUGUUAUUUUUUGUCAUAUAAAAUGAAAUACAAAAAUGUUAAUAUAUA